UGAUGUUAUUCCAAAACUAUUUGGCACUGUUAAUGGUACUCAACUUGAGAAUCUGUUAUGGGAUUUUGUUGAGAGUGUCAUCCAAGAGUCUAUUGAUACACUUGAUGACCCUUUUUCCGAUGUUAAAAGGUUUUUUAAAAUGAUUGUUGAGGAAGCAAAG
Molecule: long non-coding RNA, 160 nt
Organism: Xenia sp. Carnegie-2017
Lineage: Eukaryota; Metazoa; Cnidaria; Anthozoa; Malacalcyonacea; Xeniidae
Exons: 3
Source: RefSeq, a predicted model, not a curated record